CCUGACUGGGUACCUCCUGCCCACGCACAGAAGUGACGAUGGAGCCAGGGGUCAGCUGUGUCCAUGUGCGGCUGGGGUGGGUGACACCAUCAUGGUGGGUGAAUGUCAGCACUCCCUGCAUGGGGUGACGAAACCAUCCCGUUCAUUUUGUUCUUGUGAUUGAUUAAAUCUGGCUUUUGUGGGCCCAUAAAAAGGGAGGCAAUGGGGCAACUCUGGUUUCAGUGCAGACGUGAACUGCCCCUGCAGGUGCUUCACCCCUGAGAAUUUCUGCUCAGUCACCUGCUGGGAACGGCUGUCCUGUGAUGCUGUGACACUGUGUCUGGGCCUGGCUACAGAGAAGGGGACCUGGGAGCACCAAACACACGUGGGGACUAUGGCCAGAAGCCACUGGGGAGCCUGGGCCAAUUCUGUCGCAGAAUAGUAAGACCUCUGAGGACGGUACCUCUGCCUGUGAUUUUAAUCGCUGUCACCCAGAUCGCCCAUCAGAGACUGCACGCGUUCCUCUCCGUGGUUCCUCCCGCUCUCGAAUAAUCCCUCUCAAGGUUUUACGUGUGUCAUCUGUAAGCCCCGUGUUGUUGGCUACGGUAACUCAUGGCAUGAAUGCAGUUGCCCAUCACGGUCUGAUUCUCAGCUUCGCCUGUGCACACUCGGAUCCACACAGCCUCACUGGUUGCGCUGUUUCACCCCCACCGAGGUCACAGACCCACACGUCCCCUCCUGUUGCAGAGCCCACGGGAUACCCACCCCUCCUGCAAUUCCCACCUGUCGCCUCCAUUUCCAGCAUGUUUAAGUGCUGUGAAAGUGGAAAGUCUAAAUGCCUUGGCCUCUUGGGCUGGGAGACAGGUGAGUGUCUGGUUGUAUGAGAAGUCCUGCGUGCCUGCCUCACCUGAUGGGCCACUAGCCAAGCAUGAGGGAACACCCUCACCAGGGACAGCAGUGUUGUCGCUGUUCUUUAUUUUAGCUGCUCUGGUAGGUGACCUCUUACCGCGGUUUCCAUGUGCAUUUCCCUGAGGGCUGGCCGUGUCCUUUUUACCAUCUGUGGAUCGUCUUCAGUGAAAUGCCUGUUCACGUCUUUCAUCCAAAAAAUUUGGGUUGUUUGCUUUAACAUUUAGUUUUGAAAGUUUUUUUUUUUUUUUUAAUAUAGUCUGGGUACAAUCCUUUGCGGGUUAUGGGUAGACAUUUUGUACUUCUCAGAUGGACUUUCACAAAAGCUUUUGAUUUUGACGUUGUCCAAUUUAUCAGCUUUUUUUUUCUUUAUAGGUAAGGCUGGUGUGUCAACCUAAUUCUUCUUGACUAGCCUAGACCUCGAAGAGUUUGUCUUUCUUUUCCUAAGAGUUUUGUACUUUACAUUUAACAUUUAAUCCCGGUAUUCAUUAAUUUUUGUGUGAGGUGUAUGCUUUAGGUCAAGAUUUAUAAUUUUUGCAUAUGGGUGUCGAGUGACCCCAGCACCAUUUGUUGAAAAUACUUUCUGCCACAGAGUUCUUUUCGCAUCUUUGUCAGAAAUAAAUUCAGCAUAUCUGUGUGGGUCUGUAUUUGG
This 1537-nucleotide long non-coding RNA is filed under the name Bos indicus x Bos taurus (hybrid cattle). RNAcentral's name for it is "lncRNA (ENSBIXG00000017175.1)". The record is from RNAcentral. Lineage: Eukaryota; Metazoa; Chordata; Mammalia; Artiodactyla; Bovidae.